CGCAGUCUGAUGGAGCACGCCGCGUGAGUGAAGAAGGCUUUCGGGUCGUAAAACUCUGUUGUUGGAGAAGAAUGGUCGGCAGAGUAACUGUUGUCGGCGUGACGGUAUCCAACCAGAAAGCCACGGCUAACUACGUGCCAGCAGCCGCGGUAAUACGUAGGUGGCAAGCGUUAUCCGGAUUUAUUGGGCGUAAAGCGAGCGCAGGCGGUUUUUUAAGUCUGAUGUGAAAGCCCUCGGCUUAACCGAGGAAGUGCAUCGGAAACUGGGAAACUUGAGUGCAGAAGAGGACAGUGGAACUCCAUGUGUAGCGGUGAAAUGCGUAGAUAUAUGGAAGAACACCAGUGGCGAAGGCGGCUGUCUGGUCUGUAACUGACGCUGAGGCUCGAAAGCAUGGGUAGCGAACAGGAUUAGAUACC
This 416-nucleotide ribosomal RNA is filed under the name Lacticaseibacillus rhamnosus. RNAcentral describes it as "bacterial SSU rRNA". It matches the Rfam family "Bacterial small subunit ribosomal RNA", at positions 376 to 786 of the family's 1533-position model. Lineage: Bacteria; Bacillati; Bacillota; Bacilli; Lactobacillales; Lactobacillaceae. The record is from RNAcentral.